Molecule: ribosomal RNA, 90 nt
Filed under: Salmonella enterica subsp. enterica serovar Agona
Lineage: Bacteria; Pseudomonadati; Pseudomonadota; Gammaproteobacteria; Enterobacterales; Enterobacteriaceae
Description: partial 16S ribosomal RNA
Rfam family: Bacterial small subunit ribosomal RNA
Source: RNAcentral
AAAUUGAAGAGUUUGAUCAUGGCUCAGAUUGAACGCUAGCGGCAGGCCUAACACAUGCAAGUCGAACGGUAGCACAGAGAGCUUGCUCUC